AGAGUUUGAUCCUGGCUCCUGAUGAACGCUGGCGGCGUGCCUAACACAUGCAAGUCGAGCGAGAAGAUUAUGAUUGAAGCUUCGGUGGAUUGAAUAAUUGGAAAGCGGCGGACGGGUGAGUAACGCGUGGGUAACCUGCCCUGUACAGAGGAAUAGCCAUUGGAAACGAUGAUUAAUGCCUCAUAAGACUACAGCACCGCAUGGUGCAGUAGUAAAAACUCCGGUGGUACAGGAUGGACCCGCGUUAGAUUAGCUAGUUGGUAAGGUAAUGGCUUACCAAGGCUACGAUCUAUAGCCGACCUGAGAGGGUGAUCGGCCACACUGGAACUGAGACACGGUCCAGACUCCUACGGGAGGCAGCAGUGGGGAAUAUUGCACAAUGGGCGAAAGCCUGAUGCAGCAACGCCGCGUGAGUGAUGAAGGCCUUCGGGUCGUAAAACUCUUUUCUUGGGGAAGAAAAAUGACGGUACCCAAGGAAUAAGCCCCGGCUAAUUACGUGCCAGCAGCCGCGGUAAUU
Molecule: ribosomal RNA, 517 nt
Filed under: uncultured Bacillota bacterium
Lineage: Bacteria; Bacillati; Bacillota
Description: bacterial SSU rRNA
Rfam family: Bacterial small subunit ribosomal RNA
Source: RNAcentral